CAUUGUUAAAAUACCUGCUUGUCAAUGCGGAUCUCGUAAGGUCUCGGAAAGCUAAGACGGGUUGGGCCUGGUUAGUACUUGGAUGGGACAGCGCUGGGAAUAUCAGGUGCCACAGUGG
This 118-nucleotide ribosomal RNA is filed under the name Periophthalmus magnuspinnatus. The record is from RNAcentral. Lineage: Eukaryota; Metazoa; Chordata; Actinopteri; Gobiiformes; Gobiidae.